UUUUUUCCCAUUAAUGAACAAUAAUGGGCCUAUUGUGAGUAGUAAUGGCCUACCUCUAAACGGUAAUGGGCUAGUCAUUUACUAUCGCCAACGUGGCCCAGUUAUUAUUCAUAUAUUUUAGUAAUAUUUAUAUUUUGUACCAAAUCUUGAUGAUAAUACGAUAAACCCUUCAUGUUAAUGUGAUAAAUCCCUUCGUCUCCAUUGCUCUCCAUGGCUCCCUCCCCUCGCCUCCUCCCAACUCCCCACAACUACCAUCUUGAGCCUUUGCUGCUCAAUCCGUAGACAUUCUCAUGAUCGUCUCAUUUGUCCCUUUUCUGCCCUUCCUCAAGAUAAAGGAUGUCUGUCAUCAUCUUUGCAUCUCGGGAAAUCUAUGGAAGAGCAGUUGUCAGAUGAAUCAACAAAGCCUAAUUUCUCUUGAACAAGGAAGGAGAUGGUAUUUUCCCAUCUUUAAGGAUUUAGCAUUUUUCUAUGUCAUCGUUGUUGACAUUGUCAAUAUGUAGAAUUAUUUAAUUCUUUAUUUAAUACAAAAUCUGAAGUUCAUAUUCGUUGAGCCCUAUAGGAGUUUCUUAGAACCUUAUCUCUAGAUCUUGUUUGAUUUUGAUGAUUGUUUUGUUGUAUGCGGUCUCGGCAAUUGAUGUUGAAAAGCACCAUCAAUUUUAAUUUCACACAUGCUUGCAUAUUGUUUUAAAUUAUUUGCCGGAUUGCUUAUUUCUCUUUUGCUCAUGCUUUCUGGAGGAAAGGAAAGUUAUAUAGUGUAGUAGGGCCAGUAAGAUAAUCUCCUCUUUAGAAUAUGGUGUAAUUUAUUUUCCUCUUAUUUUUAUUUCAUUAUGUUCUUGGUAUCCGUCCUUUUAGGCUUUUGAUGUCUGUGAUCACCUAGUAUAAUUCUUUUUAUUAAAAGGUCAAAAAGGGUAGACAAAUGAAAUUUAAUAUAAUUAUGUUUAAGCCAGAAGAUGACAUAGUCUACACAAGAUUGACUUCUUAAUAUAGACAACAAUUAUUGGGCUUCUCAUUGAUGCUCAAUUUAUAUUUAUGAUUGGGAUAACAAUAAUUUGAUGAAAUAAUAAUUGUUUCAUCUAUUAAUUAUCAAGAUUUUUUUGAUUAAAAUGUAUAAUAAGAUCAAAGUUCAGAACACAUUAGCUGGCUUUAAAGCAGCCACAGAUGGCCUCAAAAUUCCCAAAAAUAUAGAUUGGUUUGAUGUAAGAUGGUUGUUGGUUCGUGCCUUAAUCAAAAGCUCGAAAUAAAAGUUUACAAAGGUUUAUAGCUAUGAAAUUUGGAUUGAAUUAAAAGAUCCUCCUCUUUUGGUUCUAUUGUAGGAUCAAAUGACAAGGAUGAGCUCUGGUAUUAAUUAGCAUCAAUGUCAUUGUGGAAGGAGGUGGCAUCUUUUUUUACAAUAUGCAGUAAGCCAGCUUUGUUAUCGACAAAAGACCUUGUCCUCUCCAAAUUGGAUUAGGUCUUCCUGAAUAAUGUCUUUUUAGCUUAUAUAUUUUGAGAUAUUUUUGCAAAAGUGUAUAAUUUGGUAAUUUUAUCAAAAGCUGGUCUUUAUGUUCUUUUAGAACUUCACUCAUGUUUAAUUAUGUACAAAAUUUGCUGCUAUUUUAACUUCGUAUCCAUAAUUUAUAUUCUCCUUCCUGAUUUUUGUCUGUUAUUUUUCCAAAUUUGUUGUAGUCUACCUUUUAAUACUCCAUGAGUCUACAAUCAUGUGUUUGUAUGGUAAUUAAACUGGUAUAACAUAAGUGCCUUCACAUGGGAAAUUUGAGAGUUUUUUGCACAGAAGUCCUAUUCAUGUGAGAUUUUCAGCAAGAAUUUAUUGAACAUGACAUCUAGAUCCUUCCUAGAAUUAUUUUUGUACAUUUUUUAUUAUAGGAAGUAGAUCAUUUACUGGAAAACUACUUCAUCUCAUGAAUCUGCAUUUUAAACCUGCAUUUGUCUUAUAAACAUGAUCCUUUAUUAUCUCUUUUCAUGCUGGCCAUGUAGACAUUCGUGUUGGUUACCAUUUUUUUUUUGUAAUGUCCUUAAACUUUAAACAUUUAUCCACUAGGCAUUAUGAUUUAUUCUCCUUAUUGUAUUCCUUAUGUGCAUAAUAUUUUUGUCUAGAACAUGUGAUUUUUCCUUCACAUAGGCAUUCCAAGUGCUCUUAAAUCAAUUUAAAAGUUCUUUGUCGAGUACUCACAUAUGAAACUAUACUUACAACCAGUGAUUUAAAAAGCGCUAGGCGCCAAGGUCUAAAAACACCCGAGAAGCUAGGCGCUUGCUCGAGCAAAGCGAGACGCUAAAAUAUAAAAAUAUAUAAUAUAAUUAAUAAAUAAAAUUAUUUAAACAAAAAAUAUAUUAUUAAAUUAAGAAAAUCGGGUAUAAAAUCACAAUGUCACGUUAACAAAAAGUCUAAAAAAUCAAAACAAUAAAAUUUUACAUCAAAUCUAUAGAGUUGCUCUAUACAUUUACCAUUUAUUCUGAAACCUAAAAAUAAUUUUAAAUAAAUAAAAAUUAAAAGUAUUAAAAUUAAAAAUAAUAUAUUAUUGAUCUAAUAAAUAAAAAUAAUGUUAUUAGUAUAUAGUUAGUAGUAUACUGUUAGUAGUAUACUGUUAAUAUACUGUUAACAGUAUAGUGAGAAGAGCAUGAGAAGAUCGAGGCUAAUGAGGCAAUAGCUGCAGUAGCAGUCGGUAGUGACACCGGGAACGGCGACAGUGGUCGUGAUAGCAACGGCAAGCGACGAUUGUGGCAGCGGCGAGCAGUCGGCGAGCAAUGAUUGUGGUAGCGACAAGUAGCAACAGUAGCGGCAAUCAACGAUAAUGGAAGCGGCAGUAGAGAAGAAAUCUCGGUGGUAAAAUCGCGAGAGCUAGGGUUGGGAUUCUUUACUCAUCACAAGACUAUAAAGUAUAUUUUUACCUUGAAAGAGUCAAAUACGAGAUCAUGGUGACAUAUAGAAAGUUUAAAGGAUUAUGAUUGUACCUUCUGUUAUCACUUAGGUAAGGCCAAUAUUGUAGUUUAUACAGGUAGUAGAAAAUGUAGUAGUUUUAUGGCUAAUCUAAUGGUUAAGCAAUGGAAAUCAAUGGAAAAAAUUAUGACCUCGAGGUUUUGUGGAUAGUACGAGACUCUAUGAUUUUGAUAGCCUCUAUCCAGGUUCUAUAUUAUCUCAUUCGACAAAUUAAAGAAUGACAAUUACACGAUCUACGUUUAGUCUACUUGAGGAAUGAAGUAGAAAUCGAUGAAAGAUUUCUUUGAUAUCUUUUAGGAAUCUAGGAUGCCAAGGACAUCUGGUCGUCUUGAGGAAUGAAGUACAAAUGGUAGUGAAGUCGAAUUUUUAAAUUUUAGAUGAUGACUUAUUGACAUUUGGGAUAGAGUGUGUGUUCGAAAAGACCCAUAUUAUGAUUUGAAAAUUAUGAGAAAUGGGCUGGACUCAUUGAUAUUGAUGGCCUCUAUCUAUUUGCAAUAUGAUCUCAUUCAACAAAUUUAGGAAGGGCAACUCUGAGAUCCACAUUUAAUCUACUUGAGGAAUGAAGUAUAAAAGGGAUUGAAGUCGAAUUUUUAAAUUUUGGAGGAUGGCCUUUUGAGUUUCGGGAUAGAGUAUGUGUUCUAAAUGACCCAAUUAUCAAUAACUAAAUCCUGAAGCUAGGUAAUAUUUCAAAAUAUGUGAUAAUUUGGAUUAGAUUGUUGAUUGCAUUUUAAUUUUAUGGAUUUGAAGACAAGGUCACACCUUUUGUAUGAGAUAAUUUGGCGGGAGUGACAAAGGUGGUAUUGGAGCAUGAUUUAAGGAUUAUUAAGAUAUUUGAUUCAUUUGAUGUGCAUAAUUAUAUUGAGGUUUAGUAAAUUAUAUAGAGAUCGAUGAAAAUUUUAUUUGAUGUCUUCUAGGAAUCUAGGAUGACAUCGACAUUUUGUCUUCUUGCUUCAUCUUCAAGUGGGUCCUAUUGUCACCUCCAUGCUCUCAUUGCGUGUCCUCGUGUAAUUACAUCAUAAUCGCAUUCAUGCAAACCCUAAUAAUAAAAAUGUCAUCAAUGAUUUUAUGAUUAUUAGAUGAAAACUACGAUUUGAUUGUUAUAAGAAAUGGGCAGGACUCGAUGAUAUUGAUGGUCUCUAUCUAUGUGCAAUCUGAUCUCAUUCACAAAUUUAAAAAGGAUAACUAUGAGAUCCACAUUUAAUAUGCUUGAGGAAUGAAUUAGAAAUAUGAUUGAAGCCGAGCUUUCAAAUUUUAGAGGAUGGCCUUUGGAGUUUUGGGAUAGAGUAUGUGUUCUAAAUGACCCAAUUAUCAAUAUAACCAAAUCCUGAAGCAAGGUCAUAAUUCAAAAUACAUCAUGCAUUCUGAUAGCACUAAGAUGUAUAGGGUUCUCCAAAGUCAUUAUUAGUGAGGAGGUUUGAAGAAGGUGAUUGCGAUGUAUGUUUCAAAGUGUUUGACUUGUCGGAAAAUUAAAGCAGAAACUUGCUACAACCGACGUAGGCUUGAUAAGAGAAGAGAAGAGGAAUUGAAGUAGGAGAAGUUUUGCUUUGGCUUAAUGUUUCGGAUCAAAUCCUCAUAUUUGUGAUUCAAAUGUUUCUGAGGCUAGUGUUAAAUGCUUUUGUUGUAUAAGUACACUUUGUGCCUAAUUAAAUGUCGAUGGUAAAUAUGAACUUACGUGUUUUGUGGAAGUUUUAAAAGACUUCUUAUGUUUAGGAUUUUGGAAUGAUAAGUUUAAUUUGUAUAAUGAUACGACCUUGUGAUCAAUGUUAGUUUUGUGAUUGUAUAAAUUCCCACACUAAUGGAUUUUAUGAUGUGGUUUCGUUUACAUGAGUUGGCUUUGGAUUUUAUGAAUCUUUGAGUGUUGUGUCGUAUGAUUAUAACUACCAAGUCUUAUGAAUUGUGGAUUAUGGGUGUGAAUUAUGACUUGAAUGAUUUUUAGUGUCAUCAAAUUUAGGAUUUCGUCUUAGAUUGUUGACUGAAUGAUUUAGUAAAUUAUGACUUGAAUGAUUUUUAGUGUCCUCAAAUUUAGUUUGGAUUUCGUAUUAUAUUGUUGACUGAAUUUUAAUAUUAUGGAUUUUAAGACAGGGUCACACCUCCUGAAUGUGAUAAAUCGGGG
Molecule: long non-coding RNA, 5048 nt
Filed under: Musa acuminata (dwarf banana)
Lineage: Eukaryota; Viridiplantae; Streptophyta; Magnoliopsida; Zingiberales; Musaceae
Description: long non-coding RNA (MACU_LNC011721)
Source: RNAcentral